CCCAGACUCCUACGGGAGGCAGCAGUGGGGAAUAUUGCACAAUGGGGGGAACCCUGAUGCAGCGACGCCGCGUGGGUGAAGGAGCACCUCGGUGCGUAAAGCCCUAUCGGCAGGGAAGAAAAGCGAACAGGUUCGCCUGGACGGUACCUGACUAAGAAGCCCCGGCUAACUACGUGCCAGCAGCCGCGGUAAUACGUAGGGGGCAAGCGUUAUCCGGAUUCACUGGGUGUAAAGGGAGCGUAGACGGCGACGCAAGUCUGGAGUGAAAGUCCAUGGCUUAACCAUGGUACUGCUCUGGAAACUGUGGAGCUUGAGUGCGGGAGGGGCAGGCGGAAUUCCUAGUGUAGCGGUGAAAUGCGUAGAUAUUAGGAGGAACACCGGCGGCGAAGGCGGCCUGCUGGACCGUAACUGACGUUGAGGCUCGAAAGCGUGGGGAGCAAACAGGAUUAGAUACCCGGGUA
This 461-nucleotide ribosomal RNA is filed under the name uncultured bacterium. Its description in RNAcentral is "bacterial SSU rRNA". It matches the Rfam family "Bacterial small subunit ribosomal RNA", at positions 330 to 792 of the family's 1533-position model. The record is from RNAcentral.